AGAACAUUCAGAGGAUGUUUUUGAACGUAGAGCCGCUGAAGAUGUUGAGCAAUAUGGGAGGAGAAUAUAUGAUCAUGUUUUUGGUUACAACAUUGAAGUGGCAUUACGUAAUGAAGAAACGUGGAAGAACCGCAACAAGCCUAGGCCUGUCUACAGCAAAGAUGUAUUGCCACCAAAACCAGUUGGACAGAAUGGUAACAAGGAUAAAGCUUCAAACACCGGUGACCCCUCUUCAGUCUCUGCAAUGUCAUCUCUAGGCCUCAAAAAUCCUCAGGAUCUGU
Molecule: unclassified non-coding RNA, 281 nt
Filed under: Hevea brasiliensis (rubber tree)
Lineage: Eukaryota; Viridiplantae; Streptophyta; Magnoliopsida; Malpighiales; Euphorbiaceae
Source: RNAcentral